Mangifera indica (mango) is the source of this 1121-nucleotide long non-coding RNA. RefSeq lists it as uncharacterized. The record is from RefSeq and is a predicted model, not a curated record. The transcript has 2 exons. NCBI's taxonomy places the organism in Eukaryota, Viridiplantae, Streptophyta, Magnoliopsida, Sapindales, Anacardiaceae.
CGGUUAAAUCGACAAACCCUUGAGUAUUCUCCCAAUGAUUUUAUGGAUUCUUGCUGAGCCUUCUCUUUUAAGUUCUGACACAAAAUUUUUUCUGUUUAAUAAAGAAAUUCUAUAAUUAAUCUUCUAAAGAUGAACUGCAACUGUAAAGGGGUAUUUAUGACAUUAUUCAAAGAUACAGAACUUUCUAGUAAAUUUUUUUAAUAUUAGGAGUGUCAACAAUAGUUACCCAACUCCGGUUUCCAAUCCAAACUGCGUGUCGUUUUACACACUACGGCGAAGAAGAGAAAUUACGGGAAAGAAGAUCUAGCAGCAGCAGCAAGGGCAGCACUUAUCAAGCAAUUUCAAUCCCCAAUUGUCCGAAUCAAUUAAAGCUUCAAUAGUGAAAUUGGAUCAUUAAUGGCGGAAGAACAAGAGAGAAAGAAGAGGGUUGUGGUUGAAUCGCUGGGAUGGCUUACGGAAUCAUCGCUCAUGCCCAAGAAACAACGCUCAAUCGAAGUAGUGGGUCCAUCUUUUAUCUUAUAAGUCAGGGCCGACCUCCAUAAAUCCCAGGAAGAAUCCAAAAAAUCCAAAGAAUUGAACAGUCAGGAUGUCGAGUUUCGCCGCGCCAAGAAGAAGAUUACCUCACGUGAUGCUUUUCUCCUCCAGGAACUCCGGCGUCGAAGCCCAUGCUCUCAAGCUUAACGUCAUGGGUGGGAUGAAUUUUGCUGAGAGUGAGAGUGAGAAUGAGAGUGCCUUGGAUUGACCCAAUUGCAUCAACCAUUCAGAAUCAAGUAGUUGGUUCGACUGUUUGACGAUGGUACUUGGAACAAAUGGGGGAAUUCUGUGUUUUAGCUUUUAGGCACUCGUUUGGUCGCACUAUUGAGCUCUAAUAUGAUCCACCUCCGUCAUCCUGUUACUUUUUUUUAUUUUAUCCAGUAAUUUUUUGAAUUUUAGGUACAAAACUAUUAAAGGCCUUGGUAUUCUGGUGUUCAACCAGUUCCCAAAGUGCUAAUUCUUUUAAGUUGUAAAAGGUUCUUUCUAACAAUGGACUGGCUGUGAGAAUCAUCCAUUAAACUGGCACCUAAAGGUGGAUUCGAAUCGAGUUUUAAUAAAGAUCAAUUGGAGCUCAGUUCGAAUUUAUA